RNAcentral lists this ribosomal RNA (512 nucleotides) under uncultured bacterium. RNAcentral describes it as "bacterial SSU rRNA". It matches the Rfam family "Archaeal small subunit ribosomal RNA", at positions 724 to 1233 of the family's 1478-position model. The record is from RNAcentral.
AGUGAAUAGAUACCCCGGUAGUCCCAGCUGUAAACGAUGCGCGUUAGGUGUAUCGGUGACCACGAGUCACCGAGGUGCCGAAAGGGAAACCGUGAAACGUGCCGCCUGGGAAGUACGGUCGCAAGGCUGAAACUUAAAGGAAUUGGCGGGGGAGCACCACAACAGGUGGAGCCUGCGGUUUAAAUCGGACUCAACGCCGGGAAGCUCACCGGAUAAGACAGCUGAAUGAUAGCCGGGUUGAAGACUCUGCUUGACUAGCUGAGAGGAGGUGCAUGGCCGUCGUCAGUUCGUACUGUGAAGCAUCCUGUUAAGUCAGGCAACGAGCGAGACCCACGCCAACAGUUGCCAGCAUGUCCUCCGGGAUGGUGGGGACACUGUUGGGACCGCCUCUGCUAAAGAGGAGGAAGGAAUGGGCAACGGUAGGUCAGCAUGCCCCGAAUUAUCCGGGCUACACGCGGGCUACAAUGGUCAGGACAAUGGGUAUCAACACCGAAAGGUGAAGGCAAUCUCCU